Molecule: ribosomal RNA, 399 nt
Filed under: uncultured Methanosaeta sp.
Lineage: Archaea; Methanobacteriati; Methanobacteriota; Methanomicrobia; Methanotrichales; Methanotrichaceae
Description: bacterial SSU rRNA
Rfam family: Archaeal small subunit ribosomal RNA
Source: RNAcentral
GACAAUAUGAAGGUCAGGCUGAAGACCUUACCCGAUUAGCUGAGAGGUGGUGCAUGGCCGUCGUCAGUUCGUACUGUGAAGCAUCCUGUUAAGUCAGGCAACGAGCGAGACCCACGUCCACAGUUGCCAGCAUACCCGUCCGGGGUGAUGGGUACACUGUGGAGACCGCCGCUGCUAAAGCGGAGGAAGGAGUGGGCAACGGUAGGUCAGUAUGCCCCGAAUCUCCCGGGCUACACGCGGGCUACAAUGGUUGGUACAAUGGGCAUCUACCCCGAAAGGGGAAGGAAAUCUCUUAAAGCCAAUCGUAGUUCGGAUUGAGGGCUGCAACUCGCCCUCAUGAAGCUGGAAUCCGUAGUAAUCGCGUUUUAACAGAACGCGGUGAAUACGUCCCUGCUCCUU